This 912-nucleotide long non-coding RNA is filed under the name Anas platyrhynchos platyrhynchos (common mallard). Its description in RNAcentral is "lncRNA (ENSAPLG00000021381.1)". The record is from RNAcentral. Lineage: Eukaryota; Metazoa; Chordata; Aves; Anseriformes; Anatidae.
AUGCAGUGCUGCGGGUGCCUGCGUGGCCUUAAGGUCAUCCGAGCAGCUCCUGGGCCAGCCCUAGUUGUGCCUGGAAUACGCUGGUCUUGGGAAAGCACAAUUCAGAAUCACUUCACGAUUCUGCAUCCAUGCAGCUGCUGCUGCAAGGGCCGUCAUCCGAAACGGGGACAGGACGGCGAAGUCCCGGGGCUGAGCACGCUGACGACAGAAGGAGUUGCUGCAACAAACCACAAACCAGAACUGGAACAGGCAGAAUUCCCUGCCAAAUCGAACCCCUUCGCAGUUCCACGGAAGGCAGAAGUAGAAGUAACACCGGCAGAAACUCGCUGGGUGCAAACGACUGGAGGGUGCUUAAUUUGCAGAAAUGGGUGAGAAUGGUGAGUGUAUGUCUGCUGUGUUUUAUCUCAAACGUUAAUUGACUUUUGCAUAUACGGUUCUGGUUCUGGUGGCUGCUUCUGUCUGUGUGUGACUUACUGUAACAGCUUCCUUUUCCCGUUUUUAUUCAACUUGUGAAGUUUUCAGACUGCAUCUGGUGGGGCUUCCUCUUUUGUGUGUGGUUGCUUGAAGCGUCUGCUCAUUUUGGUAGCACUCGCGCCCCGUGCCGUGCUGCCAGUGCUGCAGGCAGCGGGCUGCCUCGCACGAGGACGUGCGUGCUGCAGGAUUUACCCUCCUGCCAUCCCGACCCCGUCCCAGCUCUCCCAUGGCUCCUGGCCAUCCCCUGCAGCUGCAGGGUGGAAGUAAGCCUUUCCUCACUAAUGAGGCCAAGCUCGUGUUUGGCAGUUCUGUCCGUUUGCUGUCAGUUAACUGGGGCACAAGUUUACUGAUCGGGACUAAUGUCGUCACAGGCAGAAAUGUGUGCAGCGCCUCCAACGCCACAGGAGCUGAGCUGAUUGGCUUUAUGGGGACGUUACC